Molecule: long non-coding RNA, 5561 nt
Organism: Mus musculus (house mouse)
Lineage: Eukaryota; Metazoa; Chordata; Mammalia; Rodentia; Muridae
Product: predicted gene, 53905
Exons: 3
Source: RefSeq, a predicted model, not a curated record
CCUUGUAUGGUAGAAGUCAGAGUGUCUCCUCAAUCCUGGUGACUUAGGCACAAGGCAAAAUGAUCCUAGGACAGGACAGCCCUGGGGCAUUGAGGCAAAUUUGAAUUCUACCUGCUGGGAAUGUUGUGGGGGCACCCAGGGCAAAAUAAUCUCUCCCGGGUUCUGCCACCAGAACAUGGCAGGCUGGACCAAGGCUCACGAACACACAGUGCCCCUGACACCCCAGCUCCUGACACACAGCCUCCUUCAAGCAAGAUCUGGGAGUCCCACUCGUUUUGCCUGCCACUUCCAAGCACAGCCCCAGGUGACUUGCAGGAGAGUAGAGUCAUGGUUCAACUCCCACCAUCAGCAUUUCCUAACCAGCCACUGUGUACUGGACACCCCCACAUGCCUGUCUUAGGAGGCAAGGAUCAAACAGACAACUCCUUGUUCGCAAGAACUCUCACAGAGCCGAAGGCCACUCAACCUAUUGUGAAAUGGCAGCCAGGGCAGGGAAGGGCUGGGCUGCUCCUACCUCCUUCAUUCAGUCAAUGGCCCCAGUGAGGACCUGACUUGGGGGUCAACAGCAGAUGAAUUUUCCAGUCUCCAAACAACAGGCACCAGCUUUCUGAACCAAGUCAAGGAACCCAGGUCUGGGAGGAUGCGGCAUUCAGACCCUGGGGUUUUACAUCCUGUAUCAAGUAUGUCCAGUCUCUGCCUACAAACUCUAUGUGCGUCAGGAUAGGUAUGAAUGCCGGCCAACGUAAAAUCACAACCCUAACCCUCAGGCUGAACUGCUCUCUCAGAGGAUACAAGUUUGGUUCUCAGCACUAGCAUGUGGCAAUUCACAAACUACCUGUAACUCCAGCUCUGUGAAUCCAGCACCCUCUUCUGGCCUUUUUGGGGCACUGCAUGCAAGUACACAAACCCACACUCAGGCACACAUUCUCAUACACAUAAUCAAAAUUUUAAAAUAAAAAAGAUCGGAUACAUGUACUAGGCCUUCCUCUUGAGUCUACCCACCCUGCCCCAUCCUUGGUUCUUAGCACCCUAGCCUGAACUACAGAUCCUUUCUGACCACUCUUUCUGACUGUUGCUUCUUGCCCUCACAAACAAUAACUAGAGCUGGCCAUGGCACACAUUGCCCUCCUGAGUUCCCACUGUGCUGAAGAGCAAGCCCGAGGCCCCCAAUCCUUGAGAUGCCUUCAAAACCUGCGAGCCUCCCUGCUCUCCAGAACCCCUUUCAGUGGAGAUCAAAGUUGAAGAUCAUCUCUCCUUUCUCUGAUUGCCCCUGCCCUUGUUUAGACUUAAUCUGGCUUUCCUGACAUUGUCUAUCAGAGCCAGGAGCAGGAACUUGUUCAUAUCUACCUUCCCUAUGCUUGGCACACAGUCGCUACUCAAUAGGAAUGGCUAGAUAUAUCUAUCUCAUGUUUUAGGUCAGAUCGGUGAAAACCAAGAUGCAUAAACACGAGGCCACCAUUUCUCUGCCACGGGUGUCGCUGCAGCAAAACCCUGGUCCCCUCAGAGAAGCCUGACCUUUUAUUCAGCAGUUGGGCAGGACAAGGGGCAGAACUGACCCCUGGCUGCCCGUCUGGCAGGAGUGGCCAGAUGGGAACAGAGAGGCAGUCUGAGUAACCAGAGGGAGGGAGAAGGCUGGUAGGGGAGGGGAGGCCACAGUGGGCAGGAGAGGAAGGAAGAAGUGAGCUGCAGGGGGCUCCUAGGGAAGGGGCUAGAAGCAGGACAAGCAAUAUCCAGAAUGGGUGAGACUUAAAAGACAUCUCUAGUGCCAAGUGUAGGGGUGCUGGCCUGAAAUCUUGGUUGUUGGAAGGUUGAGACAGGAGGAUUGCCCUGAGUUUGCAGCCAGCCCCAUAGCGAAUUAUAGACUCUUAGGAGACAGUGUCUCAAAGAAAGGAAAGUAAAAAAAAAAAAAAAAAAAAAAGACAACAUCUCCAGAGAGCAAAGAAACGAGCUGUCCCCGCCCCAGCACAGACGAACACUGGCUACACCCACAGCCCAAGGCAGAAGUGCGACAGAGACGCGGGGGUGCUGUGCCGCCGGGUGUUGGGGCUGGUGGUAGGCAGCUCGGGUGCUGCUAGGUGUGAGUGUUGGUGGUAGGCAGCAAAGGGCAGAGCUCCCUGGGCCCAGAAAUCCAAGGUAGAGUCUAGGAGGAAACCAGGCUGUUAACUCCUCAGCAAAGACAAAGGAGGAGUUGGGCGGGGGCAAGACUAACUCCUAUAAAAGUGUUCCUGUGGCCCGAAGUAUCAGAAAAUCCCAACAAACCAAAACACAACAGCCAUUGUUUGGCAGAAUUCCUGGACAUCUUUUGGUACAGUUAUGACCCCUGUAAGCAGGUACAGGGCCUUACAUGCCUUGCUGGGUCCUCUGGGCACUGAUAGGGACCUCUGGGCUUGGUGCCUGGAUCAAGGAUUCAACAGUUGUUUAGGAGUGGCCUUGAAGAGAAUCACUUGUGCCUAAGAUUAUUGAUUAUUGAUUAAGGACAAGGGAGAUAAGCGGAUUCAUUCUUGAAUCCCUCAAGCUGCCAGUGUCCCUACCUCAGAACCACAGUCUCCUUCCACAGGACCCAGGUUUCAUCCCACCUCCACUUGGCAAGCUAGAAACAGGAACUUGAGACAGGCCACCAAGGGAGACUCAAAGAGCAUCAGGACCAUCCUUCUUAGAGUGAGCCCUAAGUGAGCAACCAGGAUGGAGGCCCAUCUGGUCUUGCUUGACCUGACCUCUAAGGGACUCAGUGAACACAUCUGGAGGAUGGGCAUCUCAGAAUUUGAGGGUCAAUAAACAUAGAAGCUGAAGCCCUUUGGGGGGGGGGAACCACACUCCCCCACAAUCCUCUCUGACUCAUGGGGUAUGAAAGUACUGAGGGGCUGGGCCCAGGUGGUUCAUUUUCAGGGCCCAGGACUCUCAACUCCUGACCCCUGAUUUCUAGUCUAGGACAAGAUCACAAUGUGGUUUCACCCUCUCUUUCCCCAUGUCAAUCAAAGAGGACAGAGAACUUCUUUGAAGGAGUCAACUGAAGAAGGGAUCCUUGUCUGGGGUAGGAAGGACAAGAGAUAGGACAGGGAGGCAGGGCUUAAACACACUGCCUCAUCUGGUGCUCCCAAGGCUGUGGUGCUCCCAAGGCUGUGGUGCUCCCAAGGCUGUGAUGAUCCCAUGGUUGCAGUGCUCCCAUGGUUGUGGUGCUCCCAAGGCUGCAGUGCUCCCUUGCAGAGGUGAGGGGGUCUCAUGUCACAACAGAGAAACAGGGGUUCAGGGAGGCUAGGGCACAUGCAAGAAGUCAGGGUGUGUAUAUGACAAGGCUGAAGCUGCAGCCUGGCCUGAUGAGCAGAAGAGAAGCAGCCCCAGCUUCGACACUGUCACCUUCCAGCUCUGUCACUGUCACCUGCCACCCUCAAUGCACCCUCCCUAGGAUCUCCUUCUAAGGGUCAUCCACUCCAAAAGGGGUCAUUUUGCUCCCUGUUGGCAAGGCCUGGCAGUUCCCCAAAGCUGACUGGCAUGAUGUCUCUAGCAGCCUGUGGUACAGUUGGUGUGUAGGCUCCUUACCCUGGGGUCCCGGACACCCAGGAAAGGGCCAGUGAGAAGCUAAGGCAUGUGCCUGGCUCUGUCUCUCUGGCCUGUGCCCCCGGGCUAGGCCUCAUCCUUCCUUGGUGUGCAGAGGAGGGUGGAACAGGAGAAUCACAAGGUCAUGGGGUCACACCAGGAGCCUAGCAACUGCUCCUGUUAUAGAGGACAGUGGGAGGGACACUGAAGGCGAGCUGCAGAAGCCAGGUGAGCCUGUCACCAUAGGGCAAGACUAGGCUAAGACCUUGGAGGGCUCUUCUCCCUGCACAGCAAAGCCAGCUGACCAAUCAGCAUUCGGGGCAGGACAGGAGUCCAUCAGUGUGAGAAGCAACACACUAUGGUAUCUGCCUUUUUAAUUCAUGCCACCUUCCCUCAGGUCUCCCUGACCCGGGACAGCCCCACCUGGCUAGACCUGGUCCCCCUGUUAAAUGCUCCUCCUCUUCUCCCUCCUAUGCUUCUGGCUGCUGUGGGAUUCUGACCAGCAGAGAUCCCUCAUCUCCAACACCCUCACCUCAUCCACAUGACCCCCUACAUGACCCCAAAAGACUCUCUCUCUCCAAAAGUUUCCCAUCUGUGAAAGUCUUGGACAUCAGUUUCCAAAAGUUCUUUGGAGAGAAGCAGGGGAGUUUUAGAACCCUGGAGCUGAUCUCUCACUCAGUGCCUGGGAACAGUGAGGUUCUCUUUGGAGCUGAAUCUUGGAGUGGCAGAGUUGGUAUUUUGAUUCCCUUAAGGAGACCCAGCACUGCCAAAGGCACCGCGACCUCAGCUCCUGUUUCAUGUGGAUCCCUAUGGCGCUUGCCCCCCACUCUGCAGGUGAAGGCUCACACACCAGCAGCAGUGACCUGCAGGUUGCCAGCUUGCCUUCCUGCUCUGUCGUCUCCUCGAGGCACCUCCUUGCCAGUAGCUUUUCCUUAGAAGCAUUCUUGGAAAGAGUGAAUGAGUUAGGAAUCAGCUCCUGCUAGUGCGACCCAAGAGGAGCCCAGACAGAGUACACACAGGCGUGGCAGGAGAUCUGAAUGGAGAGAGUUCAUUUACUCUUCUGUUGUCUGAACCUUGCACCUAGCCCUGCCUGCCAGGUAGGAAGAGCUGUUCCCCGUUGAGGACCUAGAUCCAACGUGGGCGAUAGGAACAGAGAGAAACAACCCUUGGCCUGUGUCCCUUACUUCCUGGUUGAGGCCCAAAGAGCUAGCCAGGGCCUCUCAGAGGAGGGUGCUGCUAUCGCGAGGAGUGUUCCCCCAAGCUUUCCUAAUAUCAGGUAGUAAGACUGGACUUCUACACCCAAGAAAUUAUCUGAGGAAAACUUUUCUGACCCCUGAGCUGGGGGAAGGGUCAUGUCACAUGGUGGAAAAGGGCGGGGACAAACCCCAGCAGUCAAAACUUUGCUCCUUCAAAAUCUCCAUGAAGGAGAGACUCCUUGGAUGGUGAAAUUUCCCAGUGGACCAAGAUCAGGAAAAGCAGCAACAUUUACCAGGUACCUGCUAAACCCAGCCCAUGUUACUGAGGCCCAGCUGAGGUUCCAAAUCUUAAGAUCACAACAGGGUCACAGGCCGGUGAGAGGCAGCGCGAGGACUGACUCUGGAGUUCCUGUUGCCUGUUCGGUCUCCAGCUUCUCUAAUAUCAGCAUCUUGCUUCAAGGCUAAAGGCACAAACAACAACUGAGGCAGAUGGAGCCAACUUUUACAAUGUCCUGUUCCCGACCCUGCAAUGGCGAACUGCAGAGAUUCAAAGGACAGGACACCCCGCCCCCCUACUAGGAAGGCCUCUUCUAGAGUGGACAGGCUACAUGCUGGACUGGGAGUGUCUUACGGGAAGCAGAUCAGUCCCCACAUAGCAGGAAUAAUUGGGACCACCCUGCCAAACAGAACCUAGAUGGGGGGGUCACCCAGGUUACACCUUCACCAGGAUUGCUUAAUUAGGUGUUUACAUUGUUUUGCAGGGGAGCUAGAGAUGGCUCAGUAGUUAAGAGCUCUUAAUGCUCCUGUAGAAGGUAGUUCAGUCCCCAGCAC